UACGGAGGGUGCAAGCGUUAUCCGGAUUUACUGGGUUUAAAGGGUGCGUAGGCGGCUUGAUAAGUCAGUGGUGAAAGCCCAGAGCUCAACUCUGGAAUUGCCUUUGAUACUGUCAGGCUUGAGUAUGGUUGAAGUAGGCGGAAUGUAGCAUGUAGCGGUGAAAUGCUUAGAUAUGCUACAGAACACCGAUUGCGAAGGCAGCUUGCUAAGCCAUUACUGACGCUGAGGCACGAAAGCGUGGGGAGCGAACAGG
Molecule: ribosomal RNA, 253 nt
Filed under: uncultured bacterium
Lineage: Bacteria
Description: partial 16S ribosomal RNA
Rfam family: Bacterial small subunit ribosomal RNA
Source: RNAcentral